RNA transcript from Globicephala melas (long-finned pilot whale), 4275 nucleotides. It is a transcript of the gene named ubiquitin-like protein 7, with no coding region annotated. NCBI's taxonomy places the organism in Eukaryota, Metazoa, Chordata, Mammalia, Artiodactyla, Delphinidae. The record is from RefSeq and is a predicted model, not a curated record.
CACGCCCUCCCUGGAAUCGGAAGCUUUUCAACUAGUGCCAUUUGCAGGCUGCCUAUUUAUAAAGGGGCGGGGGCCAUAGUAGGAACUGCAACUCCCAGAAUGCAGCGCGGAGCUUCCUGUUUCCGGCGAGAGGACCUGAGGAGAAAGAGAGAGCGCGAAAGAGAGAGGAUGUCUCUCUCAGAUUGGCACCUGGCGGUGAAGCUGGCUGACCAGCCACUUGCCCCCAAAUCUAUUCUUCGGUUGCCAGAGACAGAGCUCGGAGAAUACUCACUGGGAGGCUAUAGUAUUUCAUUUCUGAAGCAGCUCAUUGCUGGCAAACUCCAGGAGUCUGUUCCAGACCCCGAACUGAUCGAUCUGAUCUACUGUGGCCGGAAGCUAAAAGAUGAUCAGACCCUUGACUUCUAUGGCAUUCAGCCUGGGUCCACAGUCCAUGUUCUGCGCAAGUCCUGGCCUGAGCCUGAUCAGAAACCAGAACCUGUGGACAAAGUGGCUGCCCUGCGGGAGUUCCGGGUGCUGCACACUGCCCUGCACAGCAGCUCCUCCUACAGGGAGGCGGUCUUUAAGAUGCUCAGCAAUAAGGAAUCUCUGGAUCAGAUCAUUGUGGCCACCCCAGGCCUCAGCAGUGACCCCAUUGCUCUUGGGGUUCUCCAGGACAAGGACCUCUUCUCUGUCUUUGCUGAUCCCAACAUGCUUGAUACGUUAGUGCCUGCUCACCCGGCUCUGGUCAAUGCCAUUGUCUUGGUUCUGCACUCGGUGGCAGGCAGCACCCCGCUGCCGGGGGCCGACUCCUCCUCCCGGGGCAUGCCCUCCAGCUCGUACCGGGAUAUGCCAGGUGGCUUCCUGUUUGAAGGGCUCUCUGAUGAUGAGGAUGACUUUCACCCAAGCGCCAGGUCCACGCCCUCGAGCAGCACACCCGGCUCCCGCCCAGCUUCCCUGGGGUACAGUGGAGCUGCCGGGCCCCGGCCUAUCACCCAGAGCGAGCUGGCCACCGCCCUGGCCCUGGCCAGCACUCCGGAGAGCAGCUCUCACACGCCAACUCCUGGCACCCAGGGCCAUUCCUCAGGGACCUCCCCGGUGUCAUCCGGCGUCCAGUCAGGGACGCCCAUCACCAAUGAUCUCUUCAGCCAAGCUCUCCAGCAUGCGCUGCAGGCCUCCGGGCAGCCCAGCCUUCAGAGCCAGUGGCAGCCCCAGCUGCAGCAGCUGCGUGACAUGGGCAUCCAGGAUGAUGAGCUGAGCCUGCGGGCCCUGCAAGCCACUGGGGGUGACAUCCAAGCGGCCCUGGAGCUCAUCUUUGCCGGAGGAGCCCCAUGAACUCCCUGCUCCUCCUGAGCCCCCAGCAAACUGCCAAGGCCGCUGCCCAUGGGAAGCACUCUUGAAGGGGGCUUCUUGGAUUUGGCUGUGCCUCCACUGCCCACAGGGAAGACCUCUACAAGGUAGGUUUCUCCUAGAUAGAAGCCCCCGCAUCAUCUCUUUCUCACAGCCUCCUCCCCCUAUUCCCCCCAUGUGGAGUGGCAGGGAAGGGGAAGGCAGGACUGUGCCUCCCCCUCAGACCUGUCAGCGUCCACAUCUGUUGCUUCCUCUGCUGAUCCAUUUCCCAUCAUUGACUCUGAGUGUGGAUUGUGCCCCUGUCCUUGGUUCAGGCCCAAAAGCCAGCCUUGGGCCCCAGUGAAGAAGGCAGGCUCCUGUCACCACCUACACCAUUCUGGUUUGAUUUCCCCGUGCUACCUGAGGCAGGCAAGUCCACGCCAAACACUGGCCCUGUGCUCUCCCCACCCUGGGUACCCGUUCUCCUUCAUGCCCUUACUCUAGCUGCACUCUUUCGCUAUAGAGUUACUGUCCCAAAUCACUUUCACGGGCUCGCUUCUCACCUCCCCUGGCUGCCUGUAGCCAACCAGGAGUGGGCUGCCAUCUGGUGCUGGCCCUUUGCCCUUAGAUUGGCUGGCUCGGGGUGUCAAUUGGGGUGAAGCAGGUGCUGAGAUGAGCAUGGAGGAGCCCAGCCAGAGGCCCUCCCUGAACAUGAGGUGGGACGGUCUUCAGCACUACCCCGUCACCCUCACCCCAGCCUGGAAAAAAAUUCCCUGGCACCUGCCCCAGUUUCCAUCUGCUGCCCUGUUUCUUGGGAGGCUGAGCCCAGCCCCUGACCUGCCCUCCUGUUCAGCACCUGGUAACCUGGGCCCCUGUCUGGGUCUUUCUGAGGAUCGUUUGGAUCCAGCCACACACAGGAGGCAGUAGCGGAAGGGUGCGAUGCAUUGAGAGCAUUAUGAUAUAGAAGAUAAGGGGGUGGGCCCCAGAGAGACUGCCUGGACUUCAGUCCUGGCCCUUCACUAAUGAGCUGUGUGACCUUGGGCACAUCUCAUCCCCUCUCUGUUCCUCGGUUUCCAUGUUUGCAAAAGGAGCCAAAUAAUAGCACCUACCUCUUAAGCUUGCGAAGAUGAAAUGAAUUAAAACGAAGCUAUGAAACGUUCACGGCACAUAGUAACCUCAGCAUUAGCUAUUGCUAUUGGAGUCAGAAAACCCGGGUUCCCAUCAUGGCUCCAUCAGCUGAGCUUGGGGAGAUCUCUCUCCCUCCCUGUGCCUCAGUUUCCUUCUCUAAUAUAGGGAUGUGCUCUCUCGCUCACUAAGGGAGAGAAUGUAGGACUGGCAGGGAGAACGUAGGUGGAAGUGGGUUGUGUGUUGUGAGUUGCUGUGCACGUGGGCAGUGUUAACGUCAAUUCUGAAUUCUCAGUUCUUAAAGGCAGGGCAGGCAAUUUCUUAAUUUGCUUACCUUGCAGAGAGGGCAGACACUGGGGGUCAUAAAGUUCAGCAGAUGAGGCUGGAAACAGAGUGUCACUCUUGGAGGCCAGCCUGGGCCAGGACGUGCUGUUGGCUUCAGGGCCACAGGCUUGGGUAUAGGACUGGGGAGGGGCUGUUCGACUGUCCACAGCCUCCCUCUCUUUGUGGCAGUGUACCUCUGGGCAUCAUGAAGCUGUUGGCCCUACCCAGCAGGCCAGGAACCUAGUCCUGCACUAUCUCUGGAGGCAUCCCGAUUUCACCUUUUGGCUUGUUGGGGUAUCUUAGGAGCACUUAGGGAAGAAAGGAGGGAUAGCUGGAAACCAAAUAUGGAAUGGUAAGGCAGAACUUCCCGGUGAUAACCUUUUCUUGGCUGUGGAGCUGGACAGAGGGCUGGAGCUGGGGCUGGGGCCAGGGCAGCCUGUUCCCUGUCUUUGGUGGUGUCUGCAGUAUGUGAAUCGAGUCCAGCUAGGUGUGUGUGUCUUGGAGGCCCCAAUGCACCUCUGCUCCUUCCUCCUCAACCUAUCUUCUCUCCGUGCAGUCCAUCUGGGGAUAGACAUCCAAUAAGCACUGGAUAAGUGGAUUUCCCAUCCAUGGUUACCUUGGGCCGAAACAGAGAUGGAGGGUCUGGACCCUCUCUGGUUUGAGGGAGAGGAGACUUCUUUACAAAGGGCAAACAUGUGGCUCUGAAAAGAUAAGCUGACAGCAGAGCUUCCUGGGGCUGUUCAGAUGACUGCAGAGGGACUGGGCCGGACCCUGCCGGGGGUCACCACCAGGUCAUCAGGUUGCCUGCGCAGCUGAGCCCUAUGCAUCUUGUGGGCAGAGAUCACUUAAAGCUGGUCUGAUUCUGCCUCCCCAACAGUGAGUCCUGGGCAUGCAGGAUGCUCCCCUCUCUUUCUACUUGGGGAAGGGGACUUCUUAAUUAUAUCCCCCUCCACUCACAUGGAAAUGAGUUUGGAUUUUCUGAGCAUACACCAGCUGGCUGGGGGGGAGGCAGCCCAGAAGGCUGCUGCUGGCUGGGGAAGGGAGGAGAAAGGAGGGGAGGGAGCCAGGCCAAGAUGAAAAUUCCGUGUUCUCACAGCAGAGCAAGGAUGGGGCUCUGAGUGCUCCCCACAGGUUACUGACCCUAUGCCUGAAACCCACCCCCCCUCAUUAGGGAAGAGCAUCUUGCUCCUGCUUAUAGGCUCAGAGGAGCUGUUAUCCACUCAGGCCAGUCCAUCCUCUGAGCACUACAGCCUUCAGGGUCCAAACACUUAACUGACCAUUAGCGAGGUUGUGCCCUCAGGAGAGGUCCUCCCUGACUUCUAGGCCAAUCCCUUUAUGGGGUGGGGGGAGUGAAUCUAAGGCCCUGAGAGGGGACAGGACCUGGAGCCGAUCACAGAAGACCACAAGUCUGCCUUGCUUCCCGCCCACCCGGGUUCUCCCCGUGGAGUUGCCCAGGAAGAGGUGGUGAAGGUUCCUCGGGCGGCGGUCACUGCGCCCCCUUGGCCAGCCGGGAGGCGAGAA